CCUACGGGAGGCAGCAGUCGAGAAUCAUUCACAAUGGGGGAAACCCUGAUGGUGCGACGCCGCGUGGGGGAAUGAAGGUCUUCGGAUUGUAAACCCCUGUCAUGCGGGAGCAAAUUAAAAAGAUAGUACCACAAGAGGAAGAGCCGGCUAACUCUGUGCCAGCAGUGGCGGUAAUACAGAGGUCUCAAGCGUUGUUCGGAACCACUGGGCGUAAAGCGUGCGUAGGCUGUUUCGUAAGUCGUGUGUGAAAGGCGCGGGCUCAACCCGCGGACGGCAGAGGAUACUGCGGGACUAGAGUAAUGGGGGGGGAGCCGGAAUUCUCGGUGUAGCAGUGAAAUGCGUAGAUAUCGAGAGGAACAC
RNAcentral lists this ribosomal RNA (360 nucleotides) under uncultured bacterium. Its description in RNAcentral is "partial 16S ribosomal RNA". It matches the Rfam family "Bacterial small subunit ribosomal RNA", at positions 338 to 709 of the family's 1533-position model. The record is from RNAcentral.